CGUGCCUAACUACAUGCAAGUCGAGCGGACUUGAUGGAGUGCUUGCACUCCUGAUGGUUAGCGGCGGACGGGUGAGUAACACGUAGGUAACCUGCCCAUAAGACUGGGAUAACCCACGGAAACGUGAGCUAAUACCAGAUAGGCAUUUUCCUCGCAUGAGGGAGAUGAGAAAGGCGGAGCAAUCUGUCACUUAUGGAUGGACCUGCGGCGCAUUAGCUAGUUGGUAAGGUAACGGCUUACCAAGGCGACGAUGCGUAGCCGACCUGAGAGGGUGAUCGGCCACACUGGGACUGAGACACGGCCCAGACUCCUACGGGAGGCAGCAGUAGGGAAUCUUCCGCAAUGGACGAAAGUCUGACGGAGCAACGCCGCGUGAGUGAUGAAGGUUUUCGGAUCGUAAAGCUCUGUUGCCAGGGAAGAACGCCUAGGAGAGUAACUGCUCUUAGGGUGACGGUACCUGAGAAGAAAGCCCCGGCUAACUACGUGCCAGCAGCCGCGGUAAUACGUAGGGGGCGAGCGUUGUCCGGAAUUAUUGGGCGUAAAGCGCGCGCAGGCGGCAAUGUAAGUUGGGUGUUUAAACCUAGGGCUCAACCUUGGGUCGCAUCCAAAACUGCAUAGCUUGAGUACAGAAGAGGAAAGUGGAAUUCCACGUGUAGCGGUGAAAUGCGUAGAGAUGUGGAGGAACACCAGUGGCGAAGGCGAC
Molecule: ribosomal RNA, 703 nt
Filed under: uncultured Paenibacillus sp.
Lineage: Bacteria; Bacillati; Bacillota; Bacilli; Caryophanales; Paenibacillaceae
Description: bacterial SSU rRNA
Rfam family: Bacterial small subunit ribosomal RNA
Source: RNAcentral